CCAUUAUUGGCAUUUGCCAUAAUACUUUUCAUUACAGCGAUUUAAUUUUUGUAAGUUCGUUUUGUUGAUUUACACUCGCAAGUGCAGCAACGUAUUCAUCGUCGCCGAUUUGUAAUAAUAUGAGUAAUGUACCCAAUCAAAAUGGAUCAGGUCUAGAGCAGCAGUUUGCUGGUCUGGACUUGCAGGGCAAAUCACAGCCCAGUUCGGCUCCAAGUAAAUACGUUCCACCUCAUUUGAGGAACAAACCGGAUAAUUCCGGAGCAGUAGAACCAG
Molecule: long non-coding RNA, 273 nt
Organism: Diuraphis noxia (Russian wheat aphid)
Lineage: Eukaryota; Metazoa; Arthropoda; Insecta; Hemiptera; Aphididae
Gene: bel
Source: RefSeq, a predicted model, not a curated record